This 409-nucleotide transfer-messenger RNA is filed under the name Thalassoporum mexicanum PCC 7367. RNAcentral describes it as "Pseudanabaena sp. PCC 7367 transfer-messenger RNA". It matches the Rfam family "transfer-messenger RNA". Rfam says of the family: Bacterial tmRNA, also known as 10Sa RNA or SsrA, is named for its dual tRNA and mRNA-like properties. RNAcentral also lists the same sequence under 1 other name. The record is from Rfam by way of RNAcentral. Lineage: Bacteria; Bacillati; Cyanobacteriota; Cyanophyceae; Pseudanabaenales; Thalassoporaceae.
GGGACCGCAAGGGUUUCGACGUUUCAGUGGAGGCUACUCCGUGAAGCAGGUCGAGAGUGGGUUACCUCUCGUUAAUCAAUGAUCCAAAACAAGUAAAUGCGAAAAACACUCUUGUUAAAGUAGCUCGUAAGGCCGCUCCUGUAGCCGCUUAAGGAUCCUUAAGAAACAAAUCUUUGUUUUGAUCUCGAGCCCUAGUUAGUGACUCCGUUAAGCAAACUAGGCUAAACCCCCAACGGAUGCAGCUCAUGAUCUCCUCUGGUAGAUCAUUUGCCCAAGACUUUACCAGAGCAUCCUGUUACCUGGGAUAAUAGGUAAUUCCUGCCGUGAGGGUUAGAUCGGCUAAACCUGUGAAUGAGUGGAGCGCUAUGAUCUGUUGCGGACGGCAGUUCGACUCUGCCCGGUUCCAUUA